This is a small nuclear RNA of Callithrix jacchus (white-tufted-ear marmoset), 98 nucleotides long. The record is from Ensembl. NCBI's taxonomy places the organism in Eukaryota, Metazoa, Chordata, Mammalia, Primates, Cebidae.
GUGUUUGCUUCUGAAGCACAUAUUCUGAAAUGAUUCAGAGAUUAGCAUGGCCCCUGCACAAGGAUAACAAGCAAAUUCAUGAAGUGUUCCAAAUAAAG